This is a long non-coding RNA of Lolium rigidum, 582 nucleotides long. RefSeq lists it as uncharacterized. The record is from RefSeq and is a predicted model, not a curated record. The transcript has 4 exons. Lineage: Eukaryota; Viridiplantae; Streptophyta; Magnoliopsida; Poales; Poaceae.
UCCUCCACCUCCCUGGCCUCCUGUUUCUUCUUGUUAUUCUUCUUUCUUCUUGCUAUUCUUCUUUCUAGAAUCCAGCGAGGCUGAUUGACCUUUUUUUUUUGUUUGUGAUGUGUAGGAAUCCAGCGAGGCUGCCCAGAAUCAAGCCCGCCCCUUCUUCGUCUGCAAGUACUCGAGUAGAUUAACACAUGUGUGUAGGCGAGCACUAGGCUAUAUAGUGCAGGUUAAUUGUUGAACACCAAGAACACUUAGUGGAGUGGGCAUAGAAGUGGACUGGACACUAUCUGCAUGAGCUUGUACAAAGACAACUGGAGGUGCAGAAAUCCAUGGCAAACCAAGCAUCACCUCUACAAGAAGAAUGACAGAGGAGUUGCUGCAAAAGAUCAAUGACCCCCUUGAUGUGAUUCAGAGUGACUUGCUAGAUUCUUUUGUUCACUUCAAUGAAGAUCACUAGUUAGAAACAUAUAUAAGCUCUUGUGCACUAUUGCUGAUGACGUGCAUUCAUUUUAAAUUUAAAUUUGACCGAUCUUUGUAUAUCCUGGAUAUGAACCAUGUACUGGAUAAUGAAUCAUGUCAAUGAUCACA